Molecule: ribosomal RNA, 406 nt
Filed under: uncultured bacterium
Lineage: Bacteria
Description: partial 16S ribosomal RNA
Rfam family: Bacterial small subunit ribosomal RNA
Source: RNAcentral
AUUGAACGCUGGCGGCAGGCUUAACACAUGCAAGUCGAGCGAGCGGCGGACGGGUGAGUAAUGUCUGGGAAUCUGCCUGGUGGAGGGGGAUAACUACUGGAAACGGUAGCUAAUACCGCAUACCAUCAGAUGUGCCCAGAUGGGAUUAGCUCGUGGGUGGGGUAAUGGCGCACCUAGGCGACGAUCCCUAGCUGGUCUGAGAGGAUGACCAGCCACACUGGAACUGAGACACGGUCCAGACGCCUACGGGAGGCAGCAGUGGGGAAUAUUGGACAAUGGGCGAAAGCCUGAUGCAGCCAUGCCGCGUGUGUGAAGAAGGCCUUCGGGUUGUAAAGCACUUUAAGCGGGGAGGCGUUACUCGCAGAAGAAGCACCGGCUAACUCCGUGCCAGCAGCCGCGGUAAUAC